UAGAUCUCUAUAGCUUCUGCUGCAGCGGCAUGCUUUUCUUUUGCAAAUGGCUUGUAUGACACAUGCUUCAGGCCAUUUUACUAUUAUGUUGUCUUCAUACAUACUCCUUGUCAGGGCUGUGGAAACUUCACCUUUAGCCAAGUCUUUCUUGUGUUCCUGCAAUCUUAUUUCUAAUGGCCUCGACAUAACACCUAUAUAUAUAUUUCCUCUUUAUUCUUCAUGUUGUUUACUGUGGGAAUCUUGUAUAUCUCUGCUUUUUGUCUCUUUUCUUCUAUCUUUUUUGUUCCUAAGGUAACCAUAGAUUGUAGGGUAUCUUUUGAAGGCAAUC
This 328-nucleotide long non-coding RNA is filed under the name Androctonus crassicauda. Lineage: Eukaryota; Metazoa; Arthropoda; Arachnida; Scorpiones; Buthidae. The record is from RNAcentral.